AGAGUUUGAUCAUGGCUCAGGAUGAACGCUAGCGGCAGGCCUAACACAUGCAAGUCGAGGGGCAGCACGGUGUAGCAAUACACUGGUGGCGACCGGCGCACGGGUGCGUAACGCGUAUGCAACCUACCCAUAACAGGGGGAUAACACUGAGAAAUUGGUACUAAUACCCCAUAACAUCAGGACCGGCAUCGGUUCUGGUUGAAAACUCCGGUGGUUAUGGAUGGGCAUGCGUUGUAUUAGCUGGUUGGUGAGGUAACGGCUCACCAAGGCAACGAUACAGUAGGGGGACUGAGACGGUUAACCCCCCACAUUGGUACUGAGACACGGCCCAAACUCCUACGGGAGGCAGCA
RNAcentral lists this ribosomal RNA (351 nucleotides) under uncultured bacterium. Its description in RNAcentral is "bacterial SSU rRNA". It matches the Rfam family "Bacterial small subunit ribosomal RNA", at positions 8 to 353 of the family's 1533-position model. The record is from RNAcentral.